Molecule: ribosomal RNA, 518 nt
Filed under: uncultured marine alpha proteobacterium BY-81
Lineage: Bacteria; Pseudomonadati; Pseudomonadota; Alphaproteobacteria; Rhodobacterales; Paracoccaceae
Description: bacterial SSU rRNA
Rfam family: Bacterial small subunit ribosomal RNA
Source: RNAcentral
UGGGGAAUCUUAGACAAUGGGCGCAAGCCUGAUCUAGCCAUGCCGCGUGUGUGAUGAAGGUCUUAGGAUCGUAAAGCACUUUCGCCAGGGAUGAUAAUGACAGUACCUGGUAAAGAAACCCCGGCUAACUCCGUGCCAGCAGCCGCGGUAAUACGGAGGGGGUUAGCGUUGUUCGGAAUUACUGGGCGUAAAGCGUACGUAGGCGGAUUGGAAAGUUGGGGGUGAAAUCCCAGGGCUCAACCCUGGAACUGCCUCCAAAACUAUCAGUCUAGAGUUCGAGAGAGGUGAGUGGAAUUCCAAGUGUAGAGGUGAAAUUCGUAGAUAUUUGGAGGAACACCAGUGGCGAAGGCGGCUCACUGGCUCGAUACUGACGCUGAGGUACGAAAGUGUGGGGAGCAAACAGGAUUAGAUACCCUGGUAGUCCACACCGUAAACGAUGAAUGCCAGUCGUCGGGCAGUAUACUGUUCGGUGACACACCUAACGGAUUAAGCAUUCCGCCUGGGGAGUACGGUCGCAG